Molecule: ribosomal RNA, 254 nt
Filed under: uncultured bacterium
Lineage: Bacteria
Description: partial 16S ribosomal RNA
Rfam family: Bacterial small subunit ribosomal RNA
Source: RNAcentral
UACGAAGGGGGCUAGCGUUGCUCGGAAUCACUGGGCGUAAAGCGCACGUAGGCGGAUUGUUAAGUCAGGGGUGAAAUCCUGGAGCUCAACUCCAGAACUGCCUUUGAUACUGGCGAUCUCGAGUCCGGGAGAGGUGAGUGGAACUGCGAGUGUAGAGGUGAAAUUCGUAGAUAUUCGCAAGAACACCAGUGGCGAAGGCGGCUCACUGGCCCGAUACUGACGCUGAGGCACGAAACGCGUGGGGAGCAAACAGG